RNAcentral lists this ribosomal RNA (460 nucleotides) under uncultured bacterium. RNAcentral's name for it is "partial 16S ribosomal RNA". It matches the Rfam family "Bacterial small subunit ribosomal RNA", at positions 338 to 795 of the family's 1533-position model. The record is from RNAcentral.
CCUACGGGUGGCAGCAGUGAGGAAUAUUGGUCAAUGGACGAGCGUCUGAACCAGCCAAGUAGCGUGAAGGAUGACUGCCCUAUGGGUUGUAAACUUCUUUUAUAUGGGAAUAAAAUGUUCCACGUGUGGGAUUUUGUAUGUACCAUAAGAAUAAGGAUCGGCUAACUCCGUGCCAGCAGCCGCGGUAAUACGGAGGAUCCGAGCUUUAUCCGGAUUUAUUGGGUUUAAAGGGAGCGUAGGUGGAUUGUUAAGUCAGUUGUGAAAGUUUGCGGCUGAACCGUAAAAUUGCAGUUGAAACUGGCAGUCUUGAGUACAGUAGAGGUGGGCGGAAUUCGUGGUGUAGCGGUGAAAUGCUUAGAUAUCACGAAGAACUCCGAUUGCGAAGGCAGUUCACUGGACUGCAACUGACACUGAGGCUCGAAAGUGUGGGUAUCAAACAGGAUUAGAUACCCCUGUAGUC